RNAcentral lists this unclassified non-coding RNA (3768 nucleotides) under Leishmania donovani. Its description in RNAcentral is "gene:LdHU3.33.1460(CDS-product:hypothetical_prote in_conserved)". The record is from RNAcentral. Lineage: Eukaryota; Euglenozoa; Kinetoplastea; Trypanosomatida; Trypanosomatidae.
CGCACGCCCUACCUCCUCCCCCUCUCCGCGCUUCAUCGCUGACUUGCACACGGACCUCGCAAAAGCAAAGCACCACACGAAAGUGCCACAGAGGGAACACAGCUGCCGACGCGUUCUCGCCGUGGUCUCUCUUGCGCAUCACACAGGUCGACUCCACUUUCUUCUCGGCACCUCUUGAGCGACGCACUACAUCGCUUGCGCUAGCGAACCUCUCUCCCUCAGCAGUUUGACUGACAAGUAAACCACGUAGGAAAGCAUCCUAUAGCAGUCCAACACCUCUCUCUCUCUCUACGCACGCGCAGACACGCACACAGACAAACACCUUCACACCCGCGCACGCACGCUCUGCGAGAUAUUCCGCAGCCUUGCUCCCUUCGCUUCAGUUUUUUAAUUCAUUUCGACGCUCCUUUAUGUGAAUUUUGUUCUCUCUCUGUGCCUUGUGCGUAUCUCCCUGUCUGUCUGCGUCUCGGACCGCCCCCUCUCGUCUGCCCGCUUUCCUGCGACGGUCGCCUGCCACAGAUCAGCCUUUUGGGCCCUCGCUUCGUCAAUAUUUGGACUUUCAUAUUACGUCCUCUUUUUCCCUCUGGUUGCUUUCUCGACGACCUUUUAUUUGCGUGUGCGUGUUUGUGGUGCGCCUCCGCCUCCGCCCCUGUUCGUCUCUUUGCCCUUACGCGCGCGACUCUUACGACCUCUGUGCUGCUCUGGUGCGGGGCGGUAUUACGUGCCUCCGAGCCCCGCACCAUUCACGCUGGCUGUACCGUCGCCGUCUCGCUCUCUCAAGCCCUCGUCCUUGCCUGGCACACACACUGCAAGUAACACUCGCAGUGGGUUUUAUAACCCAUAUAUAUAUAUAUCUGCACAUACUGACAGAAAACGUAGAGGCGCUUGCGUCCUUCGCCGAAACGUGCACAGACGUGCUCCACUUACAUACAGCACACGCGUUGUCCACACCUAAAGGAUUACGUGAAUACGUCGACACAGACACGCACGCAGUGAAGACAAUGGUCGACCUCUACGCCGUGCUGGAGGUGGACAAGCGCGCGACGCCGGAGCAGAUCAAGCGGAAUUACCGCCGCCUUGCCCUGCGCUACCACCCCGACAAGGCGGGUCCAGAAGGCGCUGCCCGCUUCAAGGAGGUGAAUACCGCCUAUGAGGUUCUCUCCAACCGGCAAAAAAAGGAAAUUUACGACCGCUAUGGCGAGGCCGGACUGGAGGCGCUGGAAAACCCGGUUGCGGGGGCUGCACUCGCCACCUUCGGCUCCACCGCGCCAGUCAUCAUCGCAAUCGCUAUCUCCUUCACCUGCGCUGUCAUGCUGUUGCUCUUUCUGGCGUUUUUGGUGUCGUUUGUGGACGGCCAGCUGCGCACGUGGAGCUACGUCAAGGUGUUCUCGCCGCUCUUUGUGUUGGACUUCUUGGUCGGCGUGCCGGCUCUUAUCCUCUUAGCGGUGUUCGCCAUCAUGUCGCCGCUCAGCCUGCACGCACAGUGCACGCUUCUCUCUCUACUGUGUGCCGUCGUGUUGACGAUUGUCAUCCCGAUCGCCAAGGACCGCAACGAGGCAGUCACCAGGGCUAGACGCACCGACUACGUCCAAUGGCGGUUGUGGCUUAUCCCCGGAUACCUAUUCUCCGUAUUUGCCUUCAUCGCUAUUGUGAUGACGUCACUGCCGACGGAGAGACGUAUUCUCGACCUCAAGUCUAUAGGAUUGGUGCACCUCGCGAAUUACACUCGCGUUGGCUUCGUCUUCGCCAUCUUGCAGGGGUGCUGCAUCGUUGUCUUCUUUGCCCUGGUGGCGUGCCGCGCUGAUGAGGUGAUCACCAUCAACUACUUCGUCGUCAUUGGUCUCCCGAUAUUUCUGCUGCUCACGCUCUUCCUCGUGAACCGCUUCAUGCUUACCUUGUUAAGCAGCUACAUCAGCGACGUGCCACCCGAGGUGGCGGCGGCGGCGGCAGCGCGUGAGCUGAACGAAAAUGGUGGCGAGGCGCCUGCGCCGCACCCCAACGAGGGCUGCGCCGAAGGCCCGCACUCGUCUUGGCGUCGAUCACCGAAUCCGAUGUGCGGUGGUGGCACCGAGGGACGCCGCCGCACCCAUCGACAACCGCGCGCCGAGACUGAAGAGCAGCUACACUCCAAUGACGCCCAAGCUCACAGCGACCGUGACGGCGAGGGAGGCGAGGAUGGAGAGCGGGCGCAGCAGAGUGUGUCACACAGCAAGAACCCGUACGCUGGCCAGCACGCCUCUGUUUGCGGAGUUCUCAUCAGCAUGAUUGUCGCGACUAUCCUCGUCGGCCUGCUGAUGGCGUCGACCGCCAUGAUAGCAGUGCGGCUGAACUACUACUCCAACCACGGCACCUAUGAUGGUGUCCUGUCCCUAUCCAAGGCAUGCAUUCCGCUCUUUAUUAUUAUCGGCAACGGUGUGCUCACGCAGCUCAUCGCGUGCCUUACAUUCUGCUGUUGCGGUGUCUUCAUGGUCGUAGAGGGCGCUGCGCCAGAGCCGGAACACGGCAACCAGCAGGAGGGCAAAGCGGGGAGCGAGGCCGAGCUGCAGAAUAACGUCCGCACCGACCCGGCUCGGCCGGCUGACCAGGCGGUAGCUGGUGCGACACACCAAAAUGAGGCCCCCAGACGUCGCCCGCCUGGAGCAAUUUCUGCCGCGCCUCCUCAUUCUGUAGCGGCGUCAGCGGACGAACAUCGCAAGACGCCGCGGGAGCGCCAGCCGGACAGCACGCGCCUCUCCGACGUUGAUUAGAAGUUGGCGCCCGCACUGCUGUCCCAUGAACGCGGCCUGGUGAAGAUGAGCGGGUGGGCGAUGGGGAGGAGGCACGUGAAGGAAGCCUUUUGCGCAGCGUCACGCCUUCCCACACUACCUCUACACCGCCGCCUCCGUUCCGUCACACUCCUUCCACUGGCCGCGUUUCCUCGAUCGCCUCUUUCCGCAGUAUAUGGACGCAGCAAGCUGUCUUGUGAGCAUGCGUGCCGUUUCGUUUUCCCCCUUUAAUUUAUACUCCCGGGUGUACGUGUACGUAAACGCAACGUGUGUGUGUGUGUGCCUCCCUGUGUUGUCCUCUCUCUUUCGCUUCCCCGCGAGAAGUAGGAGCAGCUCCCAAAGGUCCGCAGGCGUGCGCAUGCCGGCUGCAUGGGAGUUGUCGUCCCCGAAGGGGGCGUGGGGGAAAGGAUUUGGCUACACGCUGCCUGCGAAGUGGUGCACGCCCUCUUGUGGUUCUAUCACCCUUGUUAUUGCGGACGGAAGUGUGCCCAGAGCAAACUACGCGCCUCUUCACUCACGGAAACGGGAGGACACAAGGACACAAGAUUCGAGUAGAGCGACAGCUGCUUCGGGAGCCUGUCGAGGGAACCGCAUUGUGCGAUCGACCUAACGGAGAAAAGACUCUGUAUCCAAGAAGGGAAAGAAUAGAAACACACACACACACAAAAGCACACCACCAUGAAAAACAAAGACUUUGCGGUGGUGCUGUACCCUCCUCCCCUAUCCCCAUCCCUAUCCCCUCCCCUAUCCCCUGCCAAAUGCCGAGCCACCUCUGGCGCUGGCAGGGCGGUGCAUCGCUGCUGACAGCGGACCGCCAGGCCCUGGGCGGCGUGGCGUCCGGGUGAUCUGCAGCCGCGAACGCGCGUGUGCACUCUCCACAUGAUGGGCAGAGUGUCCGCGUGACUCGAACGCAUCCCACCCAUCCCCCUCUCCCCGCCCCCGGCCCUCGCACGGCCCACUGGUGUGGGGAGGCCUGAGCCGCCCCGAGGAGAGGGGGUGGGGG